UAUCUCUUCUUCUCUCUUCUUCAUUUUAUUUCCAUUUUCUUUCUUCUUCUCUAUUUCUCUCUUCCCCUCUAACAACUGUUAUAGUAAAUUCAAAGAAAAACACAAGUUCAUCCCCAAAUGAAAAUGCUAAAAAAGAUUUCUUUUAGUUUCAGUUUUUGUAGCCUCAUGUUCAUGCGAUGAGCAUUAUGUUUUCAGCCAUGGCGGACUUACCGACAUGGAAGUGUAUUACAUAAAGCAACGACAGCUGCUUUAUUACAGAGAUGAGUUCGGUGACAGAGGGGAGAACGUCACCCUCGACCCGUCACUGAUUUUUGAAAACCCGAGGUUGAGAAACUCUUAUAUAGCUUUACAAGCUUGGAAAAAAGCGAUUCUUUCCAACCCGUUUAAUCUCACUGCCUAUUGAAUUGGAUCCGGUGUGUGUGACGAUACUGGUGUGUACUGUGCUCCAGCGCUUGAUAACAAGAGAAUCAGAACCGUCGCCGGUAUUGAUUUAAACCAUGGAGAUGUCGUAGGAUGCUUGCCGGAGGAGCUUGGGUUACUCACCGAUCUGGCAUUGUUUCAUAUCAACUCGAGCAGGUUUUGUGGUACGGUUCCACAUAAGUUUAUAAAGUUGAAGCUGAUGUUCGAGUUGGAUCUUAGCAACAAUUGGUUCACCGCUAAUAACAAGUUUCACGGUUAUAUGCCGGCAAGUCUUGGGAACACGACGGGUCUUGAAGAGAUUAUUUUAAUGAACAAUGGAUUUCGAUCUUGUUUGCCGGAGCAAAUUGGGGGUUGAAAAUUUUGACUGUUUUUUAUGUUAGCUUUAAACAGUUAUUGGGUACUUUACCGGAGCAAAUUUGGGGGAUAGUGAGUCUUGAACAGCUUAAUGUGCCACAUUUCAUUAACAAUAUAUCAAAUUAAGAAUGGCAUAAAUAUUUGUAUUUUAUUAAAAAAAUAUGAUUUGGUUUAAAA
Molecule: long non-coding RNA, 951 nt
Organism: Gossypium arboreum
Lineage: Eukaryota; Viridiplantae; Streptophyta; Magnoliopsida; Malvales; Malvaceae
Exons: 2
Source: RefSeq, a predicted model, not a curated record